RNAcentral lists this ribosomal RNA (465 nucleotides) under uncultured organism. RNAcentral's name for it is "partial 16S ribosomal RNA". It matches the Rfam family "Bacterial small subunit ribosomal RNA", at positions 334 to 796 of the family's 1533-position model. The record is from RNAcentral.
CACUCCUGCGGGAGGCAGCAGUGAGGAAUAUUGGACAAUGGGUGGAAGCCUGAUCCAGCCAUCCCGCGUGCAGGAAGACGGCCCUAUGGGUUGUAAACUGCUUUUAUCUGGGGAUAAACCUACUUACGUGUAAGUAGCUGAAGGUACCAGAAGAAUAAGCACCGGCUAACUCCGUGCCAGCAGCCGCGGUAAUACGGAGGGUGCAAGCGUUAUCCGGAUUUAUUGGGUUUAAAGGGUCCGUAGGCGGACUGAUAAGUCAGUGGUGAAAUCCGACAGCUUAACUGUCGAACUGCCAUUGAUACUGUUAGUCUUGAGUAAGGUUGAAGUGGCUGGAAUAAGUAGUGUAGCGGUGAAAUGCAUAGAUAUUACUUAGAACACCAAUUGCGAAGGCAGGUCACUAAGUCUUAACUGACGCUGAUGGACGAAAGCGUGGGGAGCGAACAGGAUUAGAAACCCUUGUAGUCC